CCUACGGGAGGCAGCAGUAGGGAAUAUUGCUCAAUGGGGGAAACCCUGAAGCAGCAACGCCGCGUGGAGGAUGAAGGUUUUCGGAUUGUAAACUCCUUUUGUUAGAGAAGAUAAUGACGGUAUCUAACGAAUAAGCACUGGCUAACUCCGUGCCAGCAGCCGCGGUAAUACGGAGGGUGCAAGCGUUACUCGGAAUCACUGGGCGUAAAGAGCGCGUAGGCGGGAUAGCAAGUCAGAUGUGAAAUCCUAUGGCUUAACCAUAGAACUGCAUUUGAAACUGUUAUUCUAGAGUAUGGGAGAGGUAGGUGGAAUUCUUGGUGUAGGGGUAAAAUCCGUAGAGAUCAAGAGGAAUACU
Molecule: ribosomal RNA, 355 nt
Filed under: uncultured bacterium
Lineage: Bacteria
Description: partial 16S ribosomal RNA
Rfam family: Bacterial small subunit ribosomal RNA
Source: RNAcentral